GAUGAACGCUGGCGGCGUGCCUAAUACAUGCAAGUCGAGCGAACGGACGAGAAGCUUGCUUCUCUGAUGUUAGCGGCGGACGGGUGAGUAACACGUGGAUAACCUACCUAUAAGACUGGGAUAACUUCGGGAAACCGGAGCUAAUACCGGAUAAUAUUUUGAACCGCAUGGUUCAAAAGUGAAAGACGGUCUUGCUGUCACUUAUAGAUGGAUCCGCGCUGCAUUAGCUAGUUGGUAAGGAAACGGCUUACCAAGGCAACGAUGCAUAGCCGGCCUGAGAGGGUGAUCGGCCAGACUGGAACUGAGACACGGUCCAGACUCCUACGGGAGGCAGCAGUAGGGAAUCUUCCGCAAUGGGCGAAAGCCUGACGGAGCAACGCCGCGUGAGUGAUGAAGGUCUUCGGAUCGUAAAACUCUGUUAUUAGGGAAGAACAUAUGUGUAAGUAACUGUGCACAGCUUGACGGUACCUAGUCAGAAAGCCACGGCUAACUACGUG
This 497-nucleotide ribosomal RNA is filed under the name uncultured bacterium. RNAcentral's name for it is "partial 16S ribosomal RNA". It matches the Rfam family "Bacterial small subunit ribosomal RNA", at positions 28 to 507 of the family's 1533-position model. The record is from RNAcentral.